CGACCGCAUGGAGAUGCGUGGCUCUUAUGGGAACAGCAAGGAACCGGAAUCUGCAUUUCCUGGAAUGCCCGGAACCCCGCUUUGCUGGCCGGUAAUUGUCUGCCCAGCAGGUGGCAGCAGAGUUGCGUUGCUCCUGAGCGCUGUAAGGACAGCACGGAGAUGCGCGGCUCUUCAGGCAGCAGCAAGGAACCGGAAUCUGCAUUUCCUGGGAUGCCCGGAACCCCGCUUUGCUGGCCGGUAAUUGUCUGCCCAGCAGGUGAAGAUGCCUUCGACGCUUCCAGUCGAUGACUUCCCCCCUGCGACGCCAUCGGCUUUCCAGGCCUCCCACACUCACCGCCAGCUCGGUUCAGUCAACCGUUACCCGAAUCCCCGCUCCGUUCCCUUUCCAUGAUCUUCCCGUCACUCUGCCACAAGCCCCUACCAAGGUCAUCGCAGGCAGCGUGUGGGAUGCGGCGCUCGGUCUCAUUGCAGUUCAUCCCAUCGGCCUCAGCCCAGCGAUCCAACCCACCCGCACCCUUCCUGAGGGCCCUUCUGCUCCCAGGCCAAUCAACGCUUCCUUCUGAUGCCAUCUGAGUUCCCUCCAGGCCACUUUCAGACUCAUGGCUCUUUGUGGCCAUUUUGAGAGUUGCGCUGAUUUCAGCGUGUGCAUUCAAUUGACUUCAACCAAAUUGGCUUUAGCUUGACAUACAAUUAAUGUAAACCAAAUUGGCUUUAGCCUUGCAUUCAAUUGGCUUCAACCAAAUUGGCUUUGGCUUUGCAUUCAAUUGACUUCAACCAAAUUGGCUUUGGCUUUAUAUUCAAUUGACUUCAACCAAAUUGGCUUUAGCUUUACAUUCAAUUGACUUCAACCAAAUUGGCUUUAGCUUUACGUUCAAUUGACUUCAACCAAAUUGGCUUUAGCUUUACAUCCAAUUAAUGUAAGCCAAAUUGGCUUUAGCUUUGCCUUGGUUACGGGGUUGGGCUAGCCUUGCUUUGUUUGCUCCUAGGCAGGGCUAACCCAACCCCGUAACCAAGGGCCGUCGGAGGCGAUUUUGUUCCUUCCGGCCAGUCUGAGACUCGCGCCCCAUUGCGGCCAUUUUGAGAGUUGCGCUGAUUUCAGCAUCUGCGUUCAAUUUAUCUCAACCAAAUUGGCUUUAGCCUUGCAAUCAUUUUGCAUCAACCAAAUUGGCUUUGGCUUUGCAUUCAAUUGACUUCAACCAAAUUGGCUUUGGCUUUGCAUUCAAUUGGCUUCAACCAAAUUGGCUUUGGCUUUGCAUUCAAUUGACUUCAACCAAAUUGGCUUUAGCCUUGCAUUCAAUUGGCUUCAACCAAAUUGGCUUUAGCUUUACAUUCAAUUGACUUCAACCAAAUUGGCUUUAGCUUUACAUUCAAUUGGCUUCAACCAAAUUGACUUUAGUUUUACAUCCAAUUAAUGUAAGCCAAAUUGGCUUUAGCUUUGCCUUGGUUACGGGGUUGGGCUAGCCUUGCUUUGUUUGUUCCUAGGCAGGGCUAACCCAACCCCGUAACCAAGGGCCGUCGGAGGCGAUUUUGUUCCUUCCCGGCCAGUCUGAGACUCGCGCCCCAUUGCGGCCAUUUUGAGAGUUGCGCUGAUUUCAGCAUCUGCGUUCAAUUUAUCUCAACCAAAUUGGCUUUAGCCUUGCAAUCAUUUUGCAUCAACCAAAUUGGCUUUGGCUUUGCAUUCAAUUGACUUCAACCAAAUUGGCUUUAGCCUUGCAUUCAAUUGGCUUCAACCAAAUUGGCUUUAGCUUUACAUUCAAUUGGCUUCAACCAAAUUGGCUUUAGUUUUACAUUCAAUUAAUGUAAGCCAAAUUGGCUUUAGCUUUGCCUUGGUUACGGGGUUGGGCUAGCCUUGCUUUGUUUGCUCCUAGGCAGGGCUAACCCAACCCCGUAACCAAGGGCCGUCGGAGGCGAUUUUGUUCCUUCCCGGCCAGUCUGAGACUCGCGCCCCUUUGUGGCCGUUCUGAGAAUUGCAAUGUCUUUGGGUGGGCUGAGAUCUGCACUGCUUUUGAGGUGGGUUGCGGUAUGCAACAUUCUCACAAGUGUGGUGUCACUAAUGGGGUGUGGAGGCUUUGUACCCUUUCUCUGGUUGGUCUGACAUCUAUGCGAACCAUGUCUUAAAGUGUACUGCAUAUGCAUCUGCUGCGCCUGUAAAUUGCGUCGUGCCAUGUAUGCAAUAUGUGUUAAGUUGCGCCUGUAAACUGUGUUGUGCCAUGUACAGAAUGUGUGGAUGCUGCGCCUAUAAACUAAGUCUUGGAAUCAGAGACCCAUAUUCAUUACAUGUUUUGCUUCUCAAUGUG
Molecule: long non-coding RNA, 2297 nt
Organism: Tympanuchus pallidicinctus (lesser prairie-chicken)
Lineage: Eukaryota; Metazoa; Chordata; Aves; Galliformes; Phasianidae
Exons: 3
Source: RefSeq, a predicted model, not a curated record